Molecule: RNA transcript, 1240 nt
Organism: Malania oleifera
Lineage: Eukaryota; Viridiplantae; Streptophyta; Magnoliopsida; Santalales; Ximeniaceae
Exons: 6
Source: RefSeq, a predicted model, not a curated record
AAUGUGCAAUUCAGCAAAAGUUGAGAGUAACAAAAAUAAAUCACCGAAGUGCAACAGCAAGCAGGCUCGAGACCCCGUCUGCAAGACCGUUAUUAGUUGCAGUCUUCGUGAGGAGUAGACGCCAUUGGCUUGCGUUGCAGUUUGCAGCAGCAGAGCAGAAAUCUCCUUCUCCGUCUGCGUCCGUUCCUGCAAUCCAAAUCAUAAUAGAAGCAAAAUGAGCAACGAUCCUUCCAAUCCCACAGUAACCCUUCUCAUAGCCAACAACGAAACCAUCCGCUCCUUCCUCGCCUCAGCCUCCAAAGACCCAAGCGUCUCCCCUGACCUCCAACACGAUGCCUCUCACCUCGCUUCCCAACCCUCCGUGCCCUACAAGCCACUCCGUUCCCUCUGGUUCGCUUCCUCACCCUCCACACGUCCCCGCCUGCCCCGCCUCUUUUCGGGCUCCGAGUUCGUCUUCACCAGCCCCAAAACCAGGGAAAAGAGUGAAGAAUUGAAGGAGAGGCUGAAGAUGCUUUCAGAUUUGGCAGAGCGGAAUGCUUAUCAGGAGCUUGUUAAGGAUAUUACCCCAAAGAAGAGUGCAAAUGAGCCUUUCUCUUCUUAUAAGGAUCAGCUAGGAUUUGGUUUGCAUGUUGUGCUUACAAUGUUUGCUGGCUAUUUGGUUGGAUAUGCGGCAUUCAGGGCCUUGUUUGGCCACAGUGCUGUCAUGAAUGCUGCUGGAGGCCUUCUUGGAUUGGUGUGUGCCAUGCUACUUGAAACACUUCUUUUCAUUAUCAGAACUUCCAAUCGUGACCUUAAAUUCUCACCUUCCACUUCAAAGCUGAAGAAGGAUCAAUAGACUUGGCCUUAAAGAGAAAGGUAUUCUUGAUUGCACUGUGUCCAUCUUAGACACCAAUUGAUGGAGAGGGGAUCCAAUCCAGAAGCAAGACUCGCUAUCAAGAACUCUAUAAGCUAACAAGUUGACGAAGGAAGAUAAGAUUAUCAGAAGAAAUGAGACAGAUCACGUUGACAUUUUGACACAACAAAGUGAAGAGUGGGUUUUCUUUUGCUUUUCUUCCUUUUCCGUUUCUCUCUGAUGGGCUCUCAUGUAAAUAACAAAACGAGGAUGUUGGUCCUAUCUGUUGGAAGAUUUUUAUUCUUAGCAUACAUAAUGACGCCUUUGGUGCAGAUGAACUGUGUUUUGGAACCCAAAUUAACGUGUUUGGACAUGUAAGAAUCCAAUCCAGCAUCUGGUUUUGUUUCU